Molecule: ribosomal RNA, 923 nt
Filed under: uncultured bacterium
Lineage: Bacteria
Description: bacterial SSU rRNA
Rfam family: Bacterial small subunit ribosomal RNA
Source: RNAcentral
UCGCCCUUAGAGUUUGAUCCUGGCUCAGGAUGAACGCUAGCUACAGGCUUAACACAUGCAAGUCGAGGGGCAGCAUGAACUUAGCUUGCUAAGUUUGAUGGCGACCGGCGCACGGGUGAGUAACACGUAUCCAACCUGCCGAUGACUCGGGGAUAGCCUUUCGAAAGAAAGAUUAAUACCCGAUGGCAUAGUUCUUCCGCAUGGUGGAACUAUUAAAGAAUUUCGGUCAUCGAUGGGGAUGCGUUCCAUUAGGUUGUUGGCGGGGUAACGGCCCACCAAGCCUUCGAUGGAUAGGGGUUCUGAGAGGAAGGUCCCCCACAUUGGAACUGAGACACGGUCCAAACUCCUACGGGAGGCAGCAGUGAGGAAUAUUGGUCAAUGGACGAGAGUCUGAACCAGCCAAGUAGCGUGAAGGAUGAAGGUCCUACGGAUUGUAAACUUCUUUUAUAAGGGAAUAAACCCUCCCACGUGUGGGAGCUUGUAUGUACCUUAUGAAUAAGCAUCGGCUAACUCCGUGCCAGCAGCCGCGGUAAUACGGAGGAUGCGAGCGUUAUCCGGAUUUAUUGGGUUUAAAGGGAGCGUAGAUGGAUGUUUAAGUCAGUUGUGAAAGUUUGCGGCUCAACCGUAAAAUUGCAGUUGAUACUGGAUAUCUUGAGUGCAGUUGAGGCAGGCGGAAUUCGUGGUGUAGCGGUGAAAUGCUUAGAUAUCACGAAGAACUCCGAUUGCGAAGGCAGCCUGCUAAGCUGCAACUGACAUUGAGGCUCGAAAGUGUGGGUAUCAAACAGGAUUAGAUACCCUGGUAGUCCACACGGUAAACGAUGAAUACUCGCUGUUUGCGAUAUACGGCAAGCGGCCAAGCGAAAGCGUUAAGUAUCCCACCUGGGGAGUACGCCGGCAACGGUGAAACUCAAAGGAAUUGACGG